Molecule: long non-coding RNA, 652 nt
Organism: Pezoporus flaviventris
Lineage: Eukaryota; Metazoa; Chordata; Aves; Psittaciformes; Psittacidae
Exons: 2
Source: RefSeq, a predicted model, not a curated record
GAUGCCCCGGGUUUCUGGAGCUGUUGGGGUGAUGUGAAGGAAGAAGCAGCCACUUCAGAGCUUGUUCUUUGUGAAGGGAGAUUGAGAUUCAAGGCAUUUUUUAGGCUACCCAGAGCUGGGCUCCGGGGUGUCCUGGAGCCGCGUGCUGCAGGAGCUGUAGGUGUGCUUUGCUGUCCUCUGUGGCUGGAAGUGCAUCCAUCACUGCAGCUCUGGGGCUUCCUCCCUGGCUGCCUUCCCUCCAGGAGAACAUGAGCUGCUGCUCCCAUGCAAGCAGGGCUUGCUGCCUGCUGGAGAGCAUCCCUGCCUGCUGGGGGUGUCAUUGGCUGUGCUGCUCCCCAGCUUCUUCCCUGGCUCUGCAUAUGGAGAACCUGUUGUCAGGAUUUUCAACAAAUUUUGGAACCAAACUGAGCACCAUUAAUUGUUGUUCUCUGCAUAAACCAACAACAUAAUUUAUCAAUGUGGCAACAACAGUAAUGUUUGUAUUUCCCAGUUUUGAAAUACUUGGAUUGGAAAUGACAACAUUAAAAUUGAAAAUAAUGGUAAUUAUCUCUCUGCAAACGUGUUUUGUUGCUACAGUCGAUAUCAUCUUUGAAACCAGCCAUGAACAGAAGUCACCAUAAGCAACAAUAAACUAAAAAUUCAUUUUCCUAGA